This 69-nucleotide transfer RNA is filed under the name Ictidomys tridecemlineatus (thirteen-lined ground squirrel). RNAcentral's name for it is "Spermophilus tridecemlineatus (thirteen-lined ground squirrel) tRNA". It matches the Rfam family "tRNA". Rfam says of the family: Transfer RNA (tRNA) molecules are approximately 80 nucleotides in length. Their secondary structure includes four short double-helical elements and three loops (D, anti-codon, and T loops). Lineage: Eukaryota; Metazoa; Chordata; Mammalia; Rodentia; Sciuridae. The record is from Rfam by way of RNAcentral.
GGAAUUGUGGCUCAAUGGUAGAGCACUUGCCUAGCAUGUGUAAGGCCCUGGGUUCGAUUCUCAGCACCG